Falco peregrinus (peregrine falcon) is the source of this 458-nucleotide long non-coding RNA. RefSeq lists it as uncharacterized. The transcript has 3 exons. The record is from RefSeq and is a predicted model, not a curated record. Lineage: Eukaryota; Metazoa; Chordata; Aves; Falconiformes; Falconidae.
CGGGGCGGCCGGCUGCCGCAGUGACGACAGGGAUCGAAACCAAGGAAAGCGGCCCCAAAUCCACGAACAAGGCAGACCAGGCAACGACCGGCAGAGACAGGCCGGGGAGCCGCUGCAGGCACAACCGCUCCUCCUCACGGAGAGAGCAAGCCAUGCCCUUUGUACAGACACCAUGCCUGGACUCGGCUUGGGAAGAACUUGAGUAGCCCCCUCUAACAGAAAGCAUAGAUUGCAAGUGAGCUCUAAUAAAGAAACAGAACUGGCACUUAAGCUUACAAAGAAUUUCAAAAAAGCAUCAGAAAUACCAUGGUCAUGAAGAACUAGUACAACCAUGAAGAAAGCAAGCAAACUUUGUUAAACAGAGUGUUUUCAAUGGAAGUUUGAAAAGGAGAAAUAUUUUCAACUGUCACCAAACAGUGUGUAUCAGACCCCUACUUUUUCCUCAGUCAAGAGAAACA